RNAcentral lists this ribosomal RNA (253 nucleotides) under uncultured bacterium. RNAcentral describes it as "partial 16S ribosomal RNA". It matches the Rfam family "Bacterial small subunit ribosomal RNA", at positions 524 to 776 of the family's 1533-position model. The record is from RNAcentral.
UACAGAGGUGGCAAGCGUUGUUCGGAAUUACUGGGCGUAAAGGGCGCGUAGGCGGCCUACUAAGUCAGACGUGAAAUCCCCCGGCUUAACCUGGGAACUGCGUCUGAUACUGGAAGGCUUGAGUAUGGGAGAGGGAUGUGGAAUUCCAGGUGUAGCGGUGAAAUGCGUAGAUAUCUGGAGGAACACCGGUGGCGAAGGCGACAUCCUGGACCGGCAUUGACGCUGAGGCGCGAAAGCCAGGGGAGCAAACGGG